This is an RNA transcript of Wyeomyia smithii (pitcher-plant mosquito), 2621 nucleotides long. RefSeq lists it as uncharacterized. The record is from RefSeq and is a predicted model, not a curated record. The transcript has 3 exons. Lineage: Eukaryota; Metazoa; Arthropoda; Insecta; Diptera; Culicidae.
CGUGUGGAGUAUAGCUGUUAAAGGUACGCGACAUUGAGAAAUGAGAGCUGCAUGCUGAUAUGUACUUAUAUAACAGUAUUGUACAGUAGUGUAUAACAGUCAACAGAAUCCAUCUUCUAGAUGACAGUAAAUCGACAGCCAAUUGUACCAACUAUUAAAUGCUAAUAGUCUUCCGGUUCUGUACCUAUAUGAGGCCUAGCAGUACCACACUCUUUCUUUAUUCUUCCUACACUCACCAUUGUGAUAAGCAGAUUAUUAAUAAAGUUUUAUUUAAAGUCGUCGUCUUUCCUUCCGAUCCUCCAUGGCAAAGUUUGGCGACGAGGAUAACGGAAAACGCGUGUGAAGUGCAGAUAAAAUAGAUUUGAAAGUCCAAUCAGUAUAAGUCGUGAGUAUUGUUAGGAAGUCGAACCUAACCUCACUUUUGAGUCAAGAAAUAGUCUCGAGCACGUGUUUGUUACGCGCGUUGUUAUAAGUCAUGGCAACGGGAGGAACAGUAAAGCAGGAAGGUCAAUCAGAAGUCAGGAUGUUGGGACCAAUGCUAGGUCAUAUGGAGCAGUUUGUGAUUGGUGACAAAUCGAGGAGUAUGUUAACCGAUUGGAACAAUUCUAUCUUGUCAACGAUGUUCCAGCUCACAAGAAAGUUGCGAUGUUAGUGACGAUGGCGGGGCCAAGUCUCUAUUCCAUCGCAUCUCGAAUCUGCUCACCCGACGAUCCAUGCACCAAGCCAUACAAAGAUCUGAUAGAGCUGCUAAAGGAGCACUUUGCACCAUCAGUCAACGUGCUUGCUGAGCGUUACAAGUUCCGGAAGGUUGAGCAGUCGUCGAGUCAAACGAUUUCGGAAUUCAUCAUUCAGCUCAAGGCUCAGUCGCAUUCCUGCGAUUUCAAAACAUUCCUGCCGGAGGCAUUGCGGGAUCAGUUCGUGGCCGGAGUUCAAAAUUCAAACCUCCGGACGAAACUCCUCGGUGAAGCAGAUUUGACUUUCGAAAAAGCUUGCACCAUUGCACGCAAUUCGGAAGCAGCGGAGCAGGAGUCAAGAGCCAUGCAGGGCUCAUCGAAACUCGCGGCUCUACAUCGGAAGUCGCGGAAAUCGUCCAAGCCGCAGGAAAACCAGUUCAAGUCAGUUGCAAGAGAUAACAAAGCAAACGACUCAAGUAAGUCGUUCCGAAAGUCGGUGGAUCAAGCCAAGCAGUGCUUUAGAUGUGGGAGGAAUCACAAACCAGAAACGUGUCCAGCCAAGCAGUGGACUUGCUUUGCAUGUGGAAAGGCCGGCCACGUGUCUACCAUGUAUCGUUCGUCGAAGGAAAAGAGCAGCGGCAAUCAAGGUCGAGUUGCCGAAAUGUCUGAAGCAGUAGAAAGUUGGCGAUUAAAUCUGCUGUCACCUAAACACGAUGGUGCACUGGAACAUAGCGUAGGGGCAGGCUCAACGGAAGCAGCUCUGGCAUCUGUUGGAGAGAUUUCGCCUAGUAAAAUCGGACAAAUCGAUGUCCCAGCCACAAUGCAACUGGUGAUCGAAGGAGUGCCUGUCACGUUCGAAAUCGAUACGGGUGCAUGUGAUUCUGUUAUAUCGUCAGUUGAGUAUCAUGAAAAGCUCUCUCAUGUUAAGCUGAACCCCACUCACAAAAGUUUCCAAUCGGUUUCAGGUCAAAGCAUCCGUCCGCAGGGUGAAUUGGUGGUCAAAGUCACGACGAAAGGAGGCGGAAAAGUUUCACUUUCGCUCUUCGUCAUACAGCCAGAGAAAGAUAGAAGAAGGUUAAGUUCACUCCUUUGCUCGGUAGAUCCAGUCUAGACGUUCUCGUUCCAGGGUGGAGAGAAAUGACAGCAACAACAGCAGUCCUCCCCUAGCGGCAACAGUGGAUACAGCAGCAGUAGCAGUGCAGCGGACAACGGCCACAGUUGUGGUAUGGCAACGGAUAGCGGAGCGCGUCUCAGCAUCGAAAGCAAGACCAGGUGAUGCAGGGCAGCGGAUACCAAUGGCAACGGAAGCGUCCACUACUGUGGCAACGGGGAUAGCGCAGCGGUUGACGUUAGUCUCAGCAUCAAUGUUUUUCAUCGCCAUAUAAGAGCCUGUUUCAGUCAAAGCCCCUCAUAACAGUUCUAGACAGCGACAACAGCAGUCUUCCCUUAGCAGCAGCAGUAGCAGUGCAGCGGAUAGCGGCCACAGCUGUGGCAUGGCAAUGGAUAGUGCACUAGUUGCAGCGGAUCUCAGCAUCGAUAGCAGCUGGGCCAGCUGAUGCAGGGGCAGCGGAUACCAAUAGCAGCGUAUAGCGGCCAAAACAUUAGCAUGCCUACGGAUGGCGUAGCAGUUGCAGCGGGAUUAGAAUCGAUAGUAGCUGAUGCAGUGAGGCACUUCAUUGAAAUGCAGUCUCUGUGCGAUAGUGGGCACUAGUAAAUGUAUUCAAUGAAAAGUUGGCUCAUUUUGACAACACAUGAGCCGUCUAGUUUCGAAUGUUAAAUCAGCUUUUUACUGUUUAUUUUAUCACAAGGAAUACUUUAUUCGCACAGUCAGUGAUAACGCCAAGAUGUGAUCGGUAUCUGAUCCGAUAUUGAAUUGAACAACAAAUAAAAAAAUGACUGACACGCAAGCAGCCGGGUUUGCUUGUAAAAGUAUUCUACUUCAUCCUU